This 301-nucleotide ribosomal RNA is filed under the name uncultured bacterium. RNAcentral describes it as "partial 16S ribosomal RNA". It matches the Rfam family "Bacterial small subunit ribosomal RNA", at positions 509 to 807 of the family's 1533-position model. The record is from RNAcentral.
CAGUCGCCGCGGUAAUGCGAAGGGUGCAAGCGCUAAUCGGAAUUACUGGGCGUAAAGCGUGCGUAGGCGGUUUGUUAAGUCUGUUGUGAAAUCCCCGGGCUCAACCUGGGAAUGGCAAUGGAUACUGGCAAGCUAGAGUGUGUCAGAGGAUGGUGGAAUUCCCGGUGUAGCGGUGAAAUGCGUAGAGAUCGGGAGGGACAUCAGUGGCGAAGGCGGCCAUCUGGGACAACACUGACGCUGAGGCACGAAAGCGUGGGGAGCAAACAGGAUUAGAUACCCCCGUAGUCCCUGUCUCUUAUAC